CGACUCUUUGUGACCUCAUGGACCAGCCCAUGCCAGAGCUCCCUGUCAGCGGUUGCCACCCCCAGCUCCUUCAAGGUCAAGCCAGUCACUUCAAGGAUACCAUCCAUCCAACUUGCCUUUGGCCGGCCCCUCUUCCUUUUUCCUUCCAUUUCCCCUAGCAUCAUUACCUUCUCCAAGCUUUCCUGUCUUCUCAUUAUGUGGCCAAAGUGCUUCAUCUUUGUCUCUAAUAUCCUUCCCUCCAGUGAGCAGCCGGGCAUUAUUUCCUGGUGUAUGGACUGGUUUGAUCUUCUUGCAGUCCAAGGCACUCUCAGAAUUUUCCUCCAACACCACAGUUCAAAAAUGUCUAUCUUCCUUCGUUCAGCCUUCCUUAUGGACCAGCUCUCACCACCCAUAGGUUACUGUGGGAAAUACCAUUGCUUUAACUAUGCGGACCUUCAUUGCCAGUAUGAUAUCUCUACUCUUCACUAUUUGAUCAAGAUUGGCCAUUGCUGGUUGCAGUCUGCUUCUGCAGUAAUCUUUGCACAUAGAAAUAUAAAGUCUGUCACUGCCGCCAUGUUUUCUCCCUCUAUUUGCCAGUUUGUCUGGUUGCCAUAAUCUUGGGUUUUUUAAUGUUUAACUGCAACUCAGCUUUUGCACUUUCUUCUUUCACCUUGGUUAUAAGGCUCCUCAGCUCCUCCUUGCUUUUAGCCAUUAAAGUGGUAUUGUCUGCAUAAGUUGUUAAGUUUCUUCCAGCAAUUUUAACUCUAGCUCUGGAUUCAUCAAGCCCCGCAUGUCGCAUGAUAUGUUCUGCGUACAAGCUGAAUAGGUAGGGUGAGAGUAUACAGCCCUGCCGUACUCCUUUCCCAAUCAUGAACCAGUCUGUUGUUCCGUGGUUUGUUCUUACUGUUGUUACUUGGUCGUUAUACAGAUUCCUCAGGAGACAGACAAGGUGACUUGGUAUCCCCAUACCACCGAGAACUUGCCACAAUUUAUUAUGAUCCACACAGUCAAAGGCUUUAGAAUAGUCAACAAAACAGAAAUAGAUGUUUUUUUGAAACCCCCCACCUUCCUCCAUUAUCCAUUCUCUGGAUGGCUUCAAAAAGAUGCUGGACAGCUCCCUACUUGGGUGGGAAACCUGCUUUGAGCAGUUUGUUGGAACUGGUGGCCCAUGAGAACCCCCUUUUAACUCUCUAAUUCUAUGCUCCACCUUUUAUCAGCUAAAGUCCAGGUUUCCUUGGGAGUGAAGCAUCGGGGGAAGGGGGCAGGAGAAAUGCUAUGUUGUGGGUCAACUCUUUCUCUGCAUUAUAAUAACAGAAGGAAAAUGACUGGAAGCCAUUUUUGACGAAGGCAAUGACUGAGUGAAGCAACAGAGAAAGCAGCAAGCCCAUCAAAGGAAAGAUGCCCAGUAAUCUUUAGUAUUGAACUCAUUUGGCCUUAUUUCGGCUUUCAAAGAUAGUACAUCAUGCAUGUGAGGGUGAGCAACCUGGAAGCAAGAUAAGCACGCUAAAUAAACAAGAUGCUGCUUUAUGUAAGAGACUGAUGGAAGUUAUUUGCCUUUCAGUAGAUUUCCUUGCUUUGAUUUCCUCUACAGAUCUACAUUCAGAUUUAUAAAACAUGAAAAACAAAUUGCAAAGGAUGAGUGGUUAUGGAGCCUGCUGUAGUGCUUUUAACAGCAGUCACAGAUUAAACAACAGAAGUGAAUGUAGCUUUAGCUGGAAUCCAGUUCCUUUCAAAGUCUGGCCAGUAGUGAGGCAUGAUGGGAGUUGCAAUUCCAUACCAUGUACAGGGCCAUAAGUUUCCCAGUUCAGUUCCAGUCUAGAAGGCAUGUUCCAAUUCAUAGUUACCUAGCAGUA
Long non-coding RNA from Anolis carolinensis (green anole), 1832 nucleotides. RefSeq lists it as uncharacterized. The transcript is spliced from 3 exons. The record is from RefSeq and is a predicted model, not a curated record. Lineage: Eukaryota; Metazoa; Chordata; Lepidosauria; Squamata; Anolidae.